RNAcentral lists this long non-coding RNA (3408 nucleotides) under Paramuricea clavata. Lineage: Eukaryota; Metazoa; Cnidaria; Anthozoa; Malacalcyonacea; Plexauridae. The record is from RNAcentral.
CUAUACAAUGCGUUAUAGCUAAUUUGACAGGGUUCAGUACUCAUGUUUAUGUGGUUUGGAAACUGCUGGACAAUGGAUCAAGUAUUCUAGCGAUGGAAAAGGUAUAAAUCAUUGACUUCAGGCUUUAGCUUGUUUAUCAUAUUUAACAGAAUGACAAUGUGUAUUUAUUACCGGCUGUUUCAAUAAAACAUUGAAGUCGGAUUUAACAAAUUUUGAAGUAAGGUUUAAUUCAAGACAUGCCGCGGUUCAGUUCAGAUAAUUGGUUUGUGAAGUUCCUUGCCUAAACUGCAUGAACUCGCUGUUUUGGUUUGGGAACUUUGCUUUAAUAAUAUAGCCGCAGUAGGUCGGCGCACAAUUAAGCGAUUCCGUUUAUACGCCGGAGUCGUAUGCGGCAGUGCAUGCGUGGCAGUGUGCCGAGUGCAGGAGCAAUUGAGCAUUAAUCAUCUCCUAUAGCUAUGGCUAUGCGUUUCGUAAAACGUUUAGAAAUGUUCAAAAAAUGUAGCUGCUUUUCUUUUGUCCGUGUAAAACAUACAGUCUUUAAAAUUACUCUGUUCAAAUGACGCGAUAUAGGCUCUUAUAUAUAUAUUAUAUAUAAGAUUUUGGUUCUUAUAUAUUAUAUAAAGAACCAAAUUUUGAAAGUCACCAAAUUACACAAAUUAAAACGAAAUCACCUCGUCCUUGACUUAAUGCUCCCUGUCACGAUUCCAUGCAUGAAUCACUGGAUAAUAAUUUUAUACUUAUCAUAACGUUGCAAUAAUUUUAAUUUGUCCUUUUUUCUUUUGCUGGUAUAUAUAGUGAGACUUUCUACUGUACGUUUAAUUUUUCGGCACCGGUGCCGAUUUUUGUCACGUUUACACGUCAAAAGGCAAAGGUGCCGGGCCUAACAUUUUGGGCACGAGUGCCUAUUUUUAGGGGUGCCGUGCUCAAAACACUGGUCGUGUAAACCGGCCUUCGACAUUCUCUUUGUUUGAAACUCGUUAUUUGUGUAAUUUUUGACUGAGAAUAUAGACUCGUUAUAGGCCAAAAAGCUGUGUUUAUAAAUAUACCCCGUUCUAGCGUUGUCGAUCUUUGAAUGUUUGUUUACAGAUUGAUAAACUAUAUACUCGUGCAUUUCAGCAUGUAAUACAGUCAUACCACAUCAUUGUGUGGAUGAAACGUAACAAUCGUAUUAUGAGACAGCCGCGGAUUGAGAUAUUGAGAGGGAUACCACCACAUGAAAAAUACAAGCAGAACGUCGACGUUUCAAGCGAAGGCCUUUCGUCGGGAAGUUAGUAGAGACCUUACGAUGUGUGACGGCAACGUGACGACGACGGCUAUUCAUACAAUGAGAUUCAUAAUAUUUAAAGUGCCUAUGACACGAAAUUUCACCCCAAAUGUUUAUGAUUGCAUUGUAAAGAUCACUUAAAAUUACUUAAUAAUUUCUUUUAUAGAAUUUUGGUAACUUGCUUCCUUUGCAAGAUAUUCAACUUUGUUUCAUAUGCAAAUAUCACCGGUGUGACAUCACAUCGCAUAAUGACAUUUUCAAAACGCAAUAUUUUACCUUGAUAAAAUACUUUUACAAACAAAUACAGAGGGUUAAUUACCAGUUAUGAAAUUAAUACAUAUAUACAAGGGCAAUUUUUUUAAAGUUUUUUAGAUACGUAUUCGUCAAGAAAACUAUACUUUUCUGAAAACUCAUGAUGAAAUGUGAUGUCACACCGGUGAUAUUUGCAUAUGAAACAAAGUUGAAUAUCUUGCAAAGGAAGCAAGUUACCAAAAUUCUGUAAAAGAAAUUAUUAAGUCAUUUUAAGUGAUCUUUACAAUGCAACCAUAAACCUUUGGGGUGAAAUUUCGUGUCAUAGGCACUUUAAGAAAAAAAAAGAAUAAUUAAUAUCUCUAGAUCCAACGGGAGUUUUAGACAUUGUCCAUGGUCUGUUUAUAACGGGAAACUACAGACAUUUACAUAGACUUGGAUCAAGUCCGUCUCUCAAGAGUCCGACUCACUGUCCGAGGGAUCGGGCGCGCGAGGUGCGCGCCGCUUCGCGGCGCACUCGAUCUCGUCGCUUCGCGACUCGGACUCUGUUGAGACGGACUUGAUCCAAGUCUAACAUUUACAUCAUGGAUAAAACGUGAAGACGCGAGACGUGAUAUAUACUCAGCAAAUUAGCUCAGUACUACAGUAUAUAGAACGUUCUCCACAAUAAAGCCACUAUUUCAAGCUAACCAAACAGUACGUAUUAAAUUGAUACGAUCAAUAAUAGUCUACAAACCUUCUUUACAAUCAUUCAUUUGAAUGAUUUUAAUCUGGCCGUUGUCGUUGCGUUGCCGUCCUACAUCGUAAGGUCUCUAAUGACUCUAUUAUAGGGCCUUCGCUGGAAACGUCGAAAUUCUGCUUGUAUUUUGCAGGUAGUUGUUGUAUCAAUCCGCAGCAGUCUUGUUAUCAUCGCUAUCCACAUGCACUAGCACAGACCCGUUCGAGAUUAAAUAACAGUCCAUUAUGGCUCGACUUUUAAAAAUAGCUAGCACCAGUGCUCAGAACACUUCCUUUAUCGGGGGACACCACGUUUUUAACAGUAAAGAAAGUGGGACCGAAACUGGACGUGGUUCCUCCUGAUGCUGUUCGGAUCACUCAAUCAUGUGAUUAUCAACUCCGUCGAAAGUAUCUCGCUUAAUAGCGAGAUGUUUCCGGGGCUGAGAUCAUAUGAUACACAUGUACUAUGUCUAUGUAGUGUCACAGAAUAAAGAUCAGUAACAGAAGGGCCACUCAGCGGUGCAACAUGUCCUCGUUUUUUUUAUGCAAAAAUAUGCAGUUUACUGGCCAGAAGGCGGAGCAGCCAGCCAGUACAGCGUGUUUAUUGGCCAGAAAAUGUCAUUGACUGGCUAGGAAAAUGGCGGCCAACAUGCGUAAUGCGACAUGCGCGAGGACAGAAACUUCAAAGCUUCCGACGUAAGUGGCCCUUCUAUAUGGAUCUUUAUUCUAUGGUAGUGUUAUCACAUGUUUGUCAUGUUUGCCAAUAUCGGCGAAAUUCAUUUGCAUAUGUCAGUUGUUACACCCGUUCCUAUACCACUUCAGAGAUACCACUUAAAAUAUUGCAAAUUAUUUCCGUUUACUUAGCUUCGUUCAUAAAAAAGUUGACAUAUAUAAACAGGGAAGUUGACUCAAAACAUCAAAAGGGUAAGACGUUCUCACACAAAUAGCAAAAGGAAUUAAUUCAGCUGUUCGACAAAUUAUUAAAGAUGCUAAACAAGGAGCUGGCAGAAUGGCUGCGAAAAAAAUGUUCUGAAAAGUGGGAGAAGUGGUCUUUGCGUGACACCGUACAUGGAUUACUACCCAUUACAGAAUGGCUACCAAACUACAAACCAAAAAAAGAUCUCCCAGACGACAUUGCUGCUGGGUUAACAUUGGGCAUCAUGAACAUACCACAAGGU